UGGGGAAUUUUGCACAAUGGGGGAAACCCUGAUGCAGCGACGCCGCGUGAUUUAGAAGGCCUUCGGGUUGUAAAAAUCUUUUUUACGGGAUGAAAAUGACAGUACCGUAAGAAUAAGGUCCGGCUAAAUACGUGCCAGCAGCCGCGGUAAUACGUAUGGACCGAGCGUUGUCCGGAAUCAUUGGGCGUAAAGGGUACGUAGGCGGCCUAGUAAGUUAGAAGUUAAAGAAUAUAGCUCAACUAUAUAAAGCUUUUAAAACUGCUAGGCUUGAGAGAUGGAAGGGAAAGUGGAAGUCCUAGUGUAGCGGUGAAAUGCGUAGAUAUAUGGAGGAACACCGGUGGCGAAAGCGGCUCUCUGGUCUGUAACUGACGCUGAGGCUCGAAAGCGUGGGGAGCGAACAGG
This 402-nucleotide ribosomal RNA is filed under the name Bacteroidota bacterium. RNAcentral's name for it is "Bacteroidetes bacterium partial 16S ribosomal RNA". It matches the Rfam family "Bacterial small subunit ribosomal RNA", at positions 355 to 776 of the family's 1533-position model. Lineage: Bacteria; Pseudomonadati; Bacteroidota. The record is from RNAcentral.